RNAcentral lists this long non-coding RNA (1498 nucleotides) under Cyanistes caeruleus (blue tit). RNAcentral describes it as "lncRNA (ENSCCEG00000001462.1)". Lineage: Eukaryota; Metazoa; Chordata; Aves; Passeriformes; Paridae. The record is from RNAcentral.
CCGGCUCUGCCCCUUCCAGCGCGUCACCCAGAGACCCAAAAACGGCGGCGCCGAGACCAACCUGGGGUCAGGGCACCCCAAAACACCCCAAAAACACCCCAAACACCCCAAAAAUACCCCAAAAACCCCCAAAACACCCCAAAAAUAUCCACAAAAUACCCCAAAAACCCCCAAAACCACCUCAAAAACCCCCAAAAUCUCACCAAAAACACCCAAAAAAACCCAAAUCCCCCCCAAAACCACCCUGGGGACGCCUGGGGACAGCCCCUGGUGUCACCUGACCCCCCAUGACGUCACCCGACCCCCAUGAUGUCACCUGACCCCGUGACGUCACCUGACCCCGUGACGUCACCUGUGCUCACCUGGCCCCUCCCCCACAGGCUCUGGGGCUCCUGGGCGGGGCCCGAAGGCGACAAAUUCGGGGCCCAAAAAUACGAGGGGGGCACGGGGUGCUGGCAGGGACCCAACAGAGCCACCACGGUGAGUGACACCUGUGUCACCUGUGUCACCUGUCCUGUGUCACCUGUGUGUGUGUGUGUCACCUGUGUCACCUGUGUCACCUGUGUGUGUCACCUGUGUGUGUGUGUCACCUGUGUGUGUGUGUCACCUGUCCUGUGUCACACCUGUGUGAGCAGCACGGGGUGCUGGCAGGGACCCAACAGAGCCACCACGGUGCGGCUCAGGUGUGGCCGGGACACGGCGGUGACGGCGGCGUCGGAGCCGAGCCGCUGCGAGUACCUGCUGGAGCUGGAGACACCUGCGGCCUGCAGGGAGCCCGAAACACCUGGGCACGAGGAGCACGACGAGCUCUGAGCCCCAAAAUGUCCCAAAAUAUCCCAAAUUAUCCCCAAAAAAUAUCCCCAAAUUAUCCCCAAAAACAUCCCCAAAAUAUUCCCAAAAUAUCCCCAAAAAAUAUCCCAAAAUAUCCCCAAAUCCCUGCAGGGAGCCCGACACACCUGGGCACGAGGAGCACGACGAGCUCUGAGCCCCAAAAUGUCCCCAAAUGUCCCCAAAAUCAUCCCCAAAAACAUCCCCAAAAUAUCCCAAAUUAUCCCCAAAAUAUCCCAAAAUAUCCCCAAAUCCCUGCAGGGAGCCCGAAACACCUGGGCACGAGGAGCACGAUGAGCUCUGAGCCCCAAAAUGUCCCCAAAAUAUCCCCAAAAUGUCCCAAAUUAUCCCCAAAAUAUCCCCAAAAUAUCCCCAAAUCCCUGCAGGGAGCCCGACACACCUGGGCACGAGGAGCACGACGAGCUCUGAGCCCCAAAAUGUCCCAAAAUAUCCCCAAAAACAUCCCCAAAAUAUCCCAAAUUAUCCCCAAAAUAUUCCCAAAAUAUCCAAAGAAAAUCCCCAAAAUAACCCCAAAAAUUUACCCAAAAGAUCCCAAAAAAAUCCCCCAAAAAACCCUGGAAAAAAUCCCAAUAAAAGCCAGAAAAAAUCCCAAAAUAACCUGGAAAAAAAUCCCAAAAUAACCGAGAAAAAAAUCCCAAAAUAACCCAUA